Molecule: non-coding RNA, 125 nt
Organism: Gossypium hirsutum (cotton)
Lineage: Eukaryota; Viridiplantae; Streptophyta; Magnoliopsida; Malvales; Malvaceae
Source: Rfam
UAUUAAAAAUUUCAUUCAUUUGUAAUGUUAAAAACUAGACAGUGACACAUGUCGUGUCAUGUGUACCUUAUACCGAUGUACAUAUAUCAGUUUUUAACAAUAAAAAUUGAUAAAAAUUUUUAACA